CCGUACAUACAAGUUUCACCGUAAAGAUUUUUUAUCACCAGAAAAUUAUUAAGGGAUUGGUAGGGUUUGAAUUGAUCUGUCGAUAUAUCGAGGUCUAGAGAAUCGAAACAAAAUAUCGAUAAUCAUAUGCUAAAACAUCGAUUCUAUAACUCCAUAGAUUUGUUAUUGUAAGAACGGACACCCAAAUUGCGAUUUUCUAACGUUUAAUUUCACAAUUAAAUUUCAACUGUCCCUUGCGAAAUCCAAUCAUGUUCUAUCGUCUAGUAAAGCGGUACGUACGGUCUAAUACCUAUGGGUCUUCGUGCAGUGCAAACUAUGACGAAACAGAAUGCAGGAUCGCGACAUUUUUUUAUAACCUCAACCUGUACGGAAUCUGAAAAUUAUCAAAGGCCCCACGACGGAUCAAGCCAUCUUGGAUUUUCAAUACUCUAUGCAAAUUCAAUAAUGACGGCUAUAAUUGAACCAGAUGACAUCUCUAGAUACUUCUGACAUUAUGAGGCAAUUUACCUCUUGGCAAACAAUGUAUAUACCAGACUCAAGAGUAUAAUAAAUAUUUUAUAAACAAUUUCAUCGGACUAAAUUUUCGGUGGUGCUUGCGUCCAUGGCGAUGUUACGAAAAGAAUGUUACUUUCAACGAACAAAUGAAUAUCUAUUUUCAAAUAGUUUUUCUCACUAUAGAUAAAAACAAAUAAAUUCAUGCGCAUAAGUACACAUACAUAAUUAAUGUCGCCACGAUGUAAUAAAGUAUAUUUAAAAAAUUAAUUUCCAAAUCAAUGACACGAUAGGAAGAGGAAUGUAUUCUCCAAUAAAAAAAAAUAACCUCCAAUGGCGAAAUGGAAUGUACUGCCAGUCUGAUGAGAAAGUGCUAAACCCUACAUGUGAACAAUAUACAGCUAUGAGGACGGGACCCUGACGGGACGCGAAGUUUCAGCAACAUGGCGGAUACGCAACGACGCGCAACACGAGGACAAUGCAAAUAGUUUGCAAGAGACGAGAGAAUUUGAGUACCCUGGAGAGAAUUUCAACGCGGGAAAAAUAGUCAGAGAGAGAAAGAGAGGCAGAGAGGAAAUGACUAGAAAAGAAAACACCGUAAGCAACGGUCAGGACUUGAAAUCAGAAGACACGGUUGAAAGAGGAGCGGAGAAACUUUAAAAGACUUAAGAGGGCCAGGAAGGCACGCCUCCUAGCCUCGUUAGUCGGGAUCGUAGCAGCAGCGGCCGUUCGCUCGUUCGUCCGUAUGCGUCGGCGAUUGUUAACAAUGUUAGCCUUCCAAGUACUUCCUGGAUGCUUUGUGGGAAGCCGGCACUGCGUGCUAUCAAUUUACCCUUCUGAUUGUUGCUGACCAAAGACCAGAGCGUGGAACCGGCCACUCC
Molecule: long non-coding RNA, 1373 nt
Organism: Cephus cinctus (wheat stem sawfly)
Lineage: Eukaryota; Metazoa; Arthropoda; Insecta; Hymenoptera; Cephidae
Exons: 5
Source: RefSeq, a predicted model, not a curated record